UGGGGAAUUUUCCGCAAUGGGGGGAACCCUGACGGAGCAACGCCGCGUGGGGGAGGAAGGUCUGUGGAUUGUAAACCCCUUUUCUCUGGGAAGAAGGUCUGACGGUACCAGAGGAAUCAGCAUCGGCUAACUCCGUGCCAGCAGCCGCGGUAAGACGGAGGAUGCAAGCGUUAUCCGGAAUUAUUGGGCGUAAAGCGUCCGUAGGCGGUUUAUCAAGUCCGCUGUCAAAGACUGCAGCUCAACUGUGGACCGGCAGUGGAAACUGAUGAACUAGAGUGCGGUAGGGGUAGAGGGAAUUCCCAGUGUAGCGGUGAAAUGCGUAGAUAUUGGGAAGAACACCAGUGGCGAAGGCGCUCUACUGGGCCGCAACUGACGCUGAGGGACGAAAGCUAGGGGAGCGAAAGGGAUUAGAUACCCCUGUAGUCC
This 426-nucleotide ribosomal RNA is filed under the name uncultured prokaryote. RNAcentral describes it as "bacterial SSU rRNA". It matches the Rfam family "Bacterial small subunit ribosomal RNA", at positions 355 to 796 of the family's 1533-position model. The record is from RNAcentral.